GUUGAGCCAGCGCAGGUCCAGGAUAGGCCUCCAGCCUCCAUUCGGGUGAGGAAGUACUGGGAAUAGAGGCCUUUCCUUUGGAAUUGAUCUGGUACCCUCUCCACUACCCAGACAGUAAGGAGGCAUGAAACGUCUUGGUGCAGAAGAGGUUCGGGAGAGGGAUCCCUGAAAAGGGACGGGGAAGGAGGGGCAGGAGGGGGCAGAGUAGUGAAAAGGAUGGUUAAGCCCGAUGUGAGGAUCUCUCGCACCCAACGGUCGGUGGUUAUAGCGAACCAGGGUGGGUAGUAUGGCCUCAACCAGUGAUGGAAUAAACCGCCUGUGUUGUGCGGAAUCUCUGUAAGGGGGAUGGCACGCAGUCCUUCAAUUGACACGUCAAACCUGCUGCCCGGCGUCUUAUUGAUUGGACGCUUUGUUGGGCUGCUGGUGACACUUCUGUGGACGUUGUCUCUGUCUGGGUUGGUCAUAUGGCCUAAAGCGGGGCGCGGCAUAAGAGAACCAUCUCUGCUUAUUGUAUCUCCUGCAUCUGUACGGUGGCGUGUACAUUCUCAGCAUUCUCAAUGUGGUGCAAGAGUCCUUGCCCGGGUGGAAUAUUUAAUCAGUAUUUUGGGCAAAAAGCAACUGUUUGUCAAAAGGUAAGUCCUCUACCUUUUAUUGUAGGUCUUUUGGGACCAAUGCGAGGUGGAGCCAGGAGGCGCACAAGCAUGACCACCGAGAAGGCCGUAGUCUGCAAUGUCGAGGGUGAUCCAUAGCGCUGUAUAGCCUUCCUGGACAACCGCUUUCAGCAUCUGCCUCUUGGCAUCAGGCAAAACACUGACGUGGAUCUGCAGCCAGGGACGAUAGAGAAGGAACUGAUGGGUGGCACAACUGUGGACAUGAUCCAGUAAGGCGCUAACACCUUGAGGAACAGAGACAAGGUUGAGGAUCUGGUACCUUCUUCCUCAUUGAUAAAAGCCAGUGCUGAAAUGUUAGAAGACAUCACCAAUACAUCUUUGCUAGCCAGGACUGGAGCUAUCAUCAAAUAGUUCUAAACCUGUGCCUACUGAUACACUGGAGGUCUGUUCUUUCAUUAGUCUAGAAUGGUAUUGUUCCCUAAAGCUGACAGAUUUACUACACCAACCCUCUCUGAUUUCAACAUACUGUGACCUUCUGCAUAUCCCUUGGCAAUGGGACAAAAGGAGAAUGGGGAUGAUGGAUCCUGUGGGCUCAAGAAAAUUAGAGGGACUUUUAGAGAAGAACCAUGUAAUCAUUUUUCUCCUUCUCCCCCUCCUUUCACCCCCUUCCCAUAUUUAUUCUUGACAGGAGUGUUGGAAGUCCAGAUCCAUCUGAAAAGUGGGUUGUGCCCAU
Pelodiscus sinensis (Chinese soft-shelled turtle) is the source of this 1344-nucleotide non-coding RNA. The record is from RefSeq and is a predicted model, not a curated record. Lineage: Eukaryota; Metazoa; Chordata; Testudines; Trionychidae.